RNAcentral lists this ribosomal RNA (1826 nucleotides) under Elusimicrobiota bacterium. Its description in RNAcentral is "partial 23S ribosomal RNA". It matches the Rfam family "Bacterial large subunit ribosomal RNA", at positions 1132 to 2925 of the family's 2925-position model. The record is from RNAcentral. Lineage: Bacteria; Pseudomonadati; Elusimicrobiota.
GCGUAAUAGCUCACUAGUCGAGUGAAUCUGCGCCGAAGAUGACUCGGGGCUAAGUAUACUACCGAAAUUACGGGUUGUACAGCGGUUCGCCGCUGUGCAGCGGUAGAGGAGCGUUAUUAACUGCAGCGAAGGCAUACCGUAAGGAGUGCUGGAGCGUUAAUAAGUGAGAAUGCUGGAAUGAGUAGCGAUAAGGAAGGUGAGAAUCCUUCCCACCGAAAAUCUAAGGAUUCCUAGAGCAAUGUUCGUCAGCUCAGGGUUAGUCGGUCCUAAGCUCAGGCCGAAAGGCGUAGGCGAAAGGGCAUCCGGUUAAUAUUCCGGAACUAUGUUAAGUGCGUCAUCACUCAGGGAGGGACGCAGGAAGGUAAACCAGCCGGUCACAGGAUGCACCGGUGAAAGGCCGUAGACAGACUUGAUAGGCAAAUCCGUCAGGUCGUUACGUCGAAAGCCGAGACGAGUGCGCAGCAAUGCGCGCAGAGUGGUCCAACUACACUGCCAAGAAAAACUUCGUGGGGAGUGCUUAAUAUAACCGUACCGUAAACCGACACAGGUGGAUGGGUAGAAAAUACUAAGGUGCGCGAGAUAACCAUCGUUAAGGAACUAGGCAAACUAGCUCCGUAACUUCGGAAGAAGGAGUACCAUAUUAGGGUUGUAGCAAUACAAUUUGAACUGGUCGCAGUGAAAUGGGCUUCGUGACUGUUUAACAAAAACUUAGGGCUCUGCUGAAAUCACAAGAUGAUGUAUAGGGCCUGAUGCCUGCCCGGUGCCGGAAGGUCAAGGGGAAGGGUUAGCCGCAAGGCGAAGCUCCGAACUUAAGCCCCGGUAAACGGCGGCGGUAACUAUAACCGUCCUAAGGUAGCGAAAUUCCUUGUCGGGUAAGUUCCGACCUGCACGAAUGGCAUAACAAAGAAGCCGCUGUCUCAACGAUGGGCUCGGCGAAAUUGUGGUGCAAGUGAAGACGCUUGCUGCAUGCAACAAGACGAAAAGACCCUAUGGAGCUUUACUGUAACUUGUCAUUGGAUUACGGUUUUUAAUACGUAGCAUAGCUGGGAGCCUUUGAAACAUCCCUUGCGGGGGGUGUGGAGGCAACAGUGAAAUACCAGCUUUUGAGGAUUGUGAUUCUAACUUAUACCCGUGAAUCCGGGUUGAGGACAUUGACAGGCGGGCAGUUUGACUGGGGCGGUCGCCUCCUAAAGAGUAACGGAGGCGUUCAAAGAUUCUCUCAGAUUGAAUAGAAAUCAAUCAAUGAGCGCAAAGGUAGAAGAGAGUUUGACUGCGAGGACGACGGUCCGAGCAGGUGCGAAAGCAGGACUUAGUGAUCCGGUGGUCCCUCGUGGGAGGGCCAUCGCUCAACGGACAAAAGCUACCCUGGGGAUAACAGGCUGAUCGGGCCCAAGAGUUCACAUCGACGGCUCGGUUUGGCACCUCGAUGUCGGCUCAUCACAUCCUCCCGCUGAAGCAGGUGGGAAGGGUUGGACUGUUCGUCCAUUAAAGUGGUACGUGAGCUGGGUUCAGUACGUCGUGAGACAGUACGGUCUCUAUCUGUUGUGUGCGUAGGAAACUUGAGAGGAGUUGUCCAUAGUACGAGAGGGCCUGGAUGAACGAACCUCCUGUAUAUCUGUUGUCCUGCCAAGGGCAUUGCAGAUUAGCGGUGUUCGGUAGGGAUAAGCGCUGAAAGCAUAUAAGCGCGAAACCCGCCUCAAGAUAAGGUUUCCCUGGACUAUAUGUCCCUUAAGACCCCCGGAAGACUACCGGGUUGAUAGGCAGAAAGUGUAAGCACAGCAAUGUGUUCAGCUAAUCUGUACUAAUAGGUCGCGAGGCUUGGCCGU